CGGGGUCAUGGGAGUCCGUGAAGACGUUCUGCACGAACAGGUUGGGCUGGCAGCUGUGCUGUGGGCGGAGCCAAAGGUCAGAGUCAGUCAGAGACCUGAAGCAGGAAGCUGGUUCAGCAGAUCCAGACUUUCUUUGGUCGUUGGCUAAACUAAACCUGAACCCAGUCAGAGGCAUCAGCAGGUGUUCAUCAGCGUUCUUAGUUAACAGGGUUUUCUUCUUCAGACUCUCAUUAAAAGAGGCGUUUAACGCAUCAUGUGACUCUCCUGCAGUGAAGGAGCCAAUCAGGUUCCUCCUGCUUCAGCCAGCAGCUUGUUCUCAUGAGAACAACAAGGAA
Molecule: long non-coding RNA, 335 nt
Organism: Stegastes partitus (bicolor damselfish)
Lineage: Eukaryota; Metazoa; Chordata; Actinopteri; Pomacentridae
Exons: 2
Source: RefSeq, a predicted model, not a curated record